Molecule: non-coding RNA, 148 nt
Filed under: Gorilla gorilla gorilla (western lowland gorilla)
Lineage: Eukaryota; Metazoa; Chordata; Mammalia; Primates; Hominidae
Source: Rfam by way of RNAcentral
GCUGGGCGUGGCAGCGGACGCCUGUAGUCCCAGCUACUUGGGAGGCUGAGGCAGGAGAAUCGCUUGAACCCAGGAGCUGGAGGUUGCAGUGAGCGGAGAUGGUGCCACUGCACUCCAGCCUGGGCGACAGAGUUAGACUCUGUCUCAC